UCCUUCUGCCCCUGCGCUCUCUGUCUCUCCCUCUGUCCACUCUCGGACUCUCAAAGCCUGCCAGCUCCGGCAGUCCGGCCUACAGUUACUACUAGUACGUUGGCGUCUGCUCCCUUCCCUUGCGUUUGGGAGACACGGAAAUGGCCCUCCCGGUCCCUUGCCCACCUCUCGCUUCCCCGCGCCCCAGCAAACUGCCGUGCUCGCCCCAGCCGGUGAAAGGCCGUCGAGGACCAGCAGCAGCAAGCAAGAUGGCCUCGUAUGGGGCCCGCGAACCUGCACCCAGGGGCGCCAUGGCCGCCUGGAGACCACGCGGGCUGGACGCGGACGCGGACGCGGAGGGAGGAGGCCGGUGAUCUCUAGAGACCAACCCGGUGAUCUCUACGCCGGGGUGGGCAUGUCUGGAGAAGUUGGGAAUGAAGCGUCUUGGUCCGGGAGCGUAUACAUACAGUAGUAGUUUUUUUUUUCGAGUAACAUUUACAUUUAUACACCAGAUACAAUUAUUUUUUCAGUGGUUAGUAUUGACCAGGGCCGUAGCUAGGCAAAUUCUUUCCGCGGCGAACUGUCAGUUCAGCUGCAGCUGCAAGCGUGAGACCAUUCAGAAACCAGAACACGUUUGCUCUUUGCUUGUCAUGUGAAUGUCCCCGUGGUAUUCUUUA
This is an RNA transcript of Zea mays, 656 nucleotides long. RefSeq lists it as uncharacterized. The transcript has 2 exons. Lineage: Eukaryota; Viridiplantae; Streptophyta; Magnoliopsida; Poales; Poaceae. The record is from RefSeq and is a predicted model, not a curated record.